This is an RNA transcript of Glycine soja, 2232 nucleotides long. It is a transcript of the gene named ninja-family protein AFP3-like, with no coding region annotated. NCBI's taxonomy places the organism in Eukaryota, Viridiplantae, Streptophyta, Magnoliopsida, Fabales, Fabaceae. The transcript has a single exon. The record is from RefSeq and is a predicted model, not a curated record.
CUUUUCGAAGUUCGUCCCCUAUUCAUUUCAACUCUGUUUUGUGUUGAGUCGAUAAACCCUAAUUGCGGUGUAAAACCUAGAAGAAGGAGGAAGAGGAAGGAUGAGACCUUUGGACGAGCGCAGUGUUCGAGCUCGUCGGAAACAACCCGAAGAACAUCGUGGAGAACCCAUCUCACGAAGGUCCCGAUUAGAACCCUGGCCGCUACUGCUUCCGCUUCCACAAGAACAAGAUCUUUAACCCCAGCGAGUCCCUCGUGAAGCGCGCCACGGCUACAAGAGUACAAGACAAACCACUACCCAACACCACUCGCCUCGUACGCGCCACCUCACCAACCACUCCUCUCGCCGCGUGUCCCUCCAAAACCCCCCUCAUUCAUCCACGUGUGUCGCCCCCUUAUCCCCAACCCAUUUCCGUCAAUUCACACCCCACCCAUUCCCCUCUUCGCCUUUUCUCUCUCCUUUCCCCACGCGUGUCGUACCCUUUCUCUUUCUCUGUCUUUCUAUAUCCUCAGCAACACACUCAGAAAAUGUGGAACAACUAGAAUCUUUUGUUCCAAACAAAAACGUAUGAAUUGGUAGGUUUUUCUCCGGAGUCGUCUUCAGUUACCACUACCAAGUUCCACGCUUGGAUUUCACGUUUCUCCGAGGUUUUAUUAUCAUCAUCUCUCUCGUGUCCCUGUCUCCGUCUCUUAGUUUCUUCUUCAAAUGGCAGAAGUUGAAGACAGAGACAACCCUCAUCACGACCACCCUCUUCUUCAACAACACAAUCUCCAAUGAACAAUUUCCCGCGAGAUCUGUUAAGAACCUUUGUGGGAGUGAACAACAACAACAAUAAUAACAAUAACAACAGUCACUACCACAAUUUGCCUAUGCCAGUGGUGAAGUUAGAGGAUGAGAAAGAAGAGCUGGAACUAAGUCUCGGCCUUUCGAUGAAUGGUAGAUUUGGGGUGGACCCUACAUCGAAGAAGAUAAAGAGAACAACCUCGAUACCGGAGUUUGUGUGCGACGAGGAGAUGGGAUAUGCUGCGAUGGGGUGCACGGGUCUCUGGUGAGGACGUGUUCGCUUCCGACGGAGACGGAGGAGGAGUGGCGGAAGAGGAAGGAGUUGCAGACGCUGCGGUGGAUGGAGGCACGGAGGAAGCGCUCCGAGAAGCAGAGGAACAUGAAAGCCUUGAGAGAACAAGAACAACAACAACAGAGGUCCGAAGGGAGCAUUCCGGCGGAGCAAGGUGCAGGGGAUACGGUGAGAUUGCACCACCCUUGGCGAGGACCGUGUCGUUGACUGCACGUUUUUGUGGACUCGGCUUGAAUGGGGACUGUGAAAAGGAGAAGAGAAGUGGAAUAGCGUUAAAAAUCCAACUGUAAGGAAAAAAUUUCUUGCAGUCAUACUUGCCAGUGUGAAAAUGAAGAUAACUCUUUUAGUCUUUAACAAAGGGUUUUAGCUAGGAUAGUUCUUUGCUAUGAAGGAUCUUUUCUUACUCUGCUACUGAAUUGUCUAAAAAUUAUAUGACAGUUUUACUCCCUCUAUAUCGUGGAAGAAACUAUAUAUACCAUAAAAUAAUCAUCCUCUUACUCUUAUAUCAUGAAUCCUCUAGCGAUGAUCUGCCUUAGCUGCUACACUUUAAUUUAAGGUUAUUAUAAAAAUGCCGGGUCAACCCAUCAAAAGACAUGCAAUAACAGAGAAGCCGGAGAGAUAGAUAUAGGAAUAUCAGGAGUUCAUCAACCACAAUUGAAUCCCUCUAAAUGCUCAUUGGAUCAUAUGACAAACAAGACCAUAUUCAAUUGCCUUGUAUAUAACCACCCCAAAAAGGUUGGCGGAAAUGGCUGGAUUAAAUUGUUUUCAAACUUCUGGAUCUAUAAUUUUUUUCUUACUUACACAUCCCAGUUCAAAGCUGCAACAGAUUCCACCACAUAUUUGAUUGGGCACAAGAAUCCUAUCCACAACAGAUCAUUCCAGGUUUUAUUCAUCAACUAAAGGCAUGGUGACAGAAUGAACUGUAAAAUGCUCCUUGGAAAGCUAUCUUUGCCAGGUUUUGUGCAUUGAGUCAAUUAGAGCUUCUUGAAGUCCAGGAUAGGAUAGAAGACUCUUAUUAAAAAGAAAAUUUGUACCUAAGGACUUUAUGAAGAGAAAUUUAUAGGAUCCCGAUCUGCAAGUUGGUGUCAAAUCUGUACAUUUCCCUAUUGGUUUAUAGUUUGCAAUCUUUGAAUGUUUAACUCAAUAGUUCUUAUUCU